GCCGAGGUGGCGGAAUGGUAGACGCGGCGGACUUAAAAUCCGCUUCCGCCUCAGGCGGAGUGCGGGUUCGAAUCCCGCCCUCGGCACCA
Molecule: transfer RNA, 89 nt
Filed under: Bacillota bacterium
Lineage: Bacteria; Bacillati; Bacillota
Description: tRNA-Leu
Rfam family: tRNA
About the family: Transfer RNA (tRNA) molecules are approximately 80 nucleotides in length. Their secondary structure includes four short double-helical elements and three loops (D, anti-codon, and T loops).
Source: RNAcentral